AGCUCAGUUGGUAGAGCAGCGGACUGAAAAUCCGCGUGUCGCCAGUUCAAUUCUGGCC
This 58-nucleotide transfer RNA is filed under the name Clostridia bacterium. Its description in RNAcentral is "tRNA-Phe". It matches the Rfam family "tRNA", at positions 9 to 63 of the family's 71-position model. Rfam says of the family: Transfer RNA (tRNA) molecules are approximately 80 nucleotides in length. The record is from RNAcentral. Lineage: Bacteria; Bacillati; Bacillota; Clostridia.